This 23390-nucleotide long non-coding RNA is filed under the name Gossypium barbadense (sea-island cotton). Its description in RNAcentral is "long non-coding RNA (GBAR_LNC008399)". The record is from RNAcentral. Lineage: Eukaryota; Viridiplantae; Streptophyta; Magnoliopsida; Malvales; Malvaceae.
UUUGUAAUAGUUUAUAGGCGCUCCGUAUUGAGAAAACGCCUGAGGGUUCUCCUCUCCACACUUGGAAAUCGUCAUGCUCCACUUCGGCAAGAGGAAUCUGCAAAAUCUUUUGAGCAGUUUCCAAUUGAAAGGUACUGAACACUAAGUCAUUAUUCCAUGUUCUGGUUGAGUGAUCAAUUAGGUCCGAAACUAACUCCAAUUCAUUGUUCCCUGUUCUGAUUUGCCUACCUACUGCAUCACAUCCUGGAAUCCAUCGAUCGUUCCAUAUAGAGAUCCCAGUCCCUCUGCCAACUCUCCAACAAAGCCCAUAUUGGAGAAGGCCCUUUGCUGCCCAAAUGUUCCUCCCGGUAAAAGAAGGUAAAUUCCCUAGCUGUGCCUUGAGAAAAUCUGAUUGUGGAAAAUAUUUUGCUUUAAGAACCCUAGCAACUAAAGAAUCUGGACAACUAAAAAUACGCCAUCCUUGUUUAGCUAAUAACAAAAUAUUAAAUUGGCAAAGAUUUCGAAACCCCAAUCCUCCACAAUUUUUUAGAACGCACAAUUUUUCCAAGCGCACCAGUGCAAUCUUUUUUUCCCACGUCCCUCCUGCCACCAGAAUUUAGCGAUAAUACCCUCCAUUUCUACACAGAAUGACUUUGGUAAUAAAAAACCGGCCAUUGAAUACGUCGGUAUAACUUGCAAAACGGCCUUAAUGAAAACUUCUUUACCCCCUUGCGACAGAUAUCUAAUACUCCAGUUAUCAAUAUGCUGUUUCAAUCGAUCUUUCAAAGCUUGAAAAGAUGCCUUCUUCUUUCUACCUACCAAACUAGGCAGUCCUAAAUACCGUUCCAAAUCUGUUGAGCUAUGAACUCCAAGCUGGUGGACCACCAAUUGUCUAUCUUCUUCUGACGUAUUUUGACUAAAAAAGACAGUUGAUUUGUCAAAAUUCACACACUGUCCUGAUCUUUUUUUGUAUUUCCUUAAAAUCUCCUUUAUCACUUGAACCCCCAUUCUCUAUACUUCUCCAAACAGAAUACAGUCAUCUGCAAAUAGUAAGUGGGACACCUGUGGGCCAUAUCUACUAACCUUAACCCCUUUCAAAGUCUCAUCUCUCACUGCUAGCCUCAAUAGACUUGAUAGACCCUCUCUGCAAAUUAGGAAUAAGAACAGACUCAGUGGAUCCCCUUGUCGAAGUCCCCUAGUCGGAUAAAAUAUUUCUCCAGCAAAUCCAUUCACCACUGUUGUAUAGGAAACAAUAGACAUACACUUCAUAAUGGCCUCUAUCCUUUUUUUGCAAAACCCAUUCGAAUCAAAACCUCCCCAACAAAAUUCCAUUCCACCCUAUCAUAAGCCUUGCUCAUAUCUAGCUUGAUUGCCAUGAAGCCAUUUUUCUCUAAUCUUUUCUGUUUUAGUGAGUGAAAGAUUUCAUAUGCUAAUAGAACAUUAUCCGAUAUAUGUCUUCCUGGGACAAAAGCAUUUUGUGCUUCAUCAAUGCAUUUAUCGAUAACUCUCCUAAAUCUGUUCGAAAUAGCUUUCACCAUUAUUUUGUAAAUGACGUUGCAUAGACUAAUUGGUCGGAAGUGUGUCAUAUUAGUCGGGUUGGUGAUUAAUACGCGUUAAAUUGAUCAAACUAACCUCCAUAUCUCCAUUCAGUAGGUGAAGACAAAAAUCAACAACCUCUUUUCCAAUGAUAGGCCAACAUCUUUGGUAGAAAAAAGCUGGGAAACCAUCCUCCCCUGGAGCUUUUGUGGAUCCCAUUUGAAACAGCGUCUCACGAAUUUCCUCUCUUGUAUAUGACACUAUCAGUAUCCUAUUAUCUUCCUUUGAUAUGUAUCUAUUUAUCCCUGAUAAUAAUUAUUCCAUAUUAGUUGGAACCCUUGCUGUGAACAAAUCUUGGAAAUAAGUUCAUGCGAUACCUUCCAUGCCCACCAGAUCCUCUGCUUCCCCUCCGUUCUCGUUUUACAAUUUUUCAAUCCGAUUAUGCCCCAGCCAGAUUACUAUCAUCCCUUUCAGCUUCUAUUAAUACUGAUAAUCCUUCAAUUAAGUCUUUUUUCCUCCCUUUUCAUUUUUUCAGUAGCUGUCGAGCCCACUUUUGUAAACCAUUCCUUAACAAAUCCAUCUUCUGUAGAAUGUCUCCUUUAAUCAUACCCCAUAAUCGUUUUACUUCAUCAUCGAAUGAAUCUUCCAAAAUCCACCAAGCCUCAAAUUUAAAGCAGUUUUCUUUUCGUUGUUCAGCUUCUUUUUUUGUGACUAUUAAAAGUGGCAGCGAUCUGAAAAUGAGUGGACCAGAUGCUGAAUUUUUGCUUCGAGAAACAAAAACAUCCACGUCGUGUUUGCUACUCCUCUGUCAAGUCGUUCUUGAAUGUUUGUCUCCAGUAAAUUUCCUCUCUCCCAUGUAAACCACCUCCCAGAAAAACCCAGAUCAUACAACUGGCAGUCCUCUAACGCUUUUUGAAAUGCUUCCAUCCUGUUCUCAUCCCUUGGAAGUCCUCCCUUCUUUUCGAACCCAUACAUAAUCUCAUUAAAGUCACCAGCAACAAUCCAAGGAAUGUCAUUUGCGUGAUAGAGAUUUUUCAAAAUGGCCCGUGAUUCUUCUUUGUCUUGUGCAUACGGAGUGCCAUGAAACUCUGUAAAUUGCCAUUUAACGUUAACUUCAAUAUCCUCCAUCAGAACGUCAAUAUGCCUUUUAGAAAAACUCUGGAGAGCUAUGGAUAUAUCAUGCCUCCAUGCCAAACACAGACCUCCUCUAGUACCUUCCGCAUCCACUUGGAUACCAUGUACAAAACCACAACUCCUCCUUACUUUCUCCAUCUAAACUCUGCAUAGUUUAGUCUUCAUAAAGAAGACUACUUGGUGAUGGCUGUCGAUUCCACCAAUAUAAACCUACACCUAGUUUGCAAAAUAAACCACUAUAGGGAGUAGGGUUGAUCCCACAAAGACUGGAAUUACUGAAAAUUGUUUGUUUCUUGACCAGAUUAGUGUCUGGGCAUUAUCGUGCCCGCGACAUUUGGGAGGGAAAUAAAAUAUGAAAUCUGAAAUAAACACAAGAAAACGUAAAAAGUAAAAAGUAAAAAGUAAAAGAUGAAAUAAAAAUGAAUAACGAAAUAAUUUAAAGGAAACUAAAAAUUAGCUCAGCCUUAAGCACUGGUUUUCCCGUCUUUGACCCGUUCCUCGAAAUUAGGUGAACUCCUCUUUUUUGAUAAGUUAGUUAUAGCUACCAAGGACGCCUCGAACACCAACUCUUCCUUGUGUAAAUUAGUUAUGGAACGUCCUAUAACUAACCCUUACCGAUUGAACAACAUACGAAAUGUUCGUGAUUUAGAACUUCGGCAGCUUUGCGUUUUAGAAGAGCCUAGCUCGAACCAAUGCCCUCAAACGUUUGGGACAUUUAAAUCCGGUUACUACUUCCCUUGACGGAACCAAACAACAAUUCCCACUUGGCACGCCAAUGUGUUCACGGAAGACUAAUUAGACAAUUGAUCCUUUCGGAAUUCCAACUGUACGUCUAGCCACACUAACUCAAACGACGUCUUUUUUGACUUAGUGUUGUCUAGACUUUGUGAGUUGAUGAAGUCAUACUUUUAAUCCGGAGAAAUAAUAAAUAUCGAAAGUUGGGAGUUAAACAGCUCGGGUUCGUAUCUCAUGGGUUUUUUGACGGGGUUAACACCGACUUAAAACUGAAAGGGGUUUAGUGUGGCAUGAAUUUAAUCAUGCUUGAAGGUUAUGGAAAUGAUAGAAAUUAUAUGAAAAAGGUAGUGGAAAUGGAUAGGAAAAAUAUUUGCAAAGAGAAUUAGAUAAAUUUUGUAAAAAGAAGACAAAAUAAUCUAAUGCUCAAUUGAAUUAAGAAAAAGAAAAACAAUGUGGAUAAUGGAAUUCCAAAAUGAAAUAGAAAUGUAAAGACUAAAACCCCCUAUUUAUAUAGAUAGGGUUUACUAAAAAUAGCUUAAGAAAAUUAAUAUAAAAUCUAAAAUAAUAAUAAUUAAAAAUAAAUAAAAUUAAAAUAAACUUAAAAUAGAAUUUCCUAUUUUUAGCUUUUUACAAAGUCAAAUUUACGACUAGUCCUUGGCUUGCUCCAUCUUUUCGCUUUGGCCCAUUCCAAUAAUUUUCUUCUAAUUUGGCUCAUUUUCAGCUUGCUUUUGACCAAUUGCAUCCCUGACAAGAAUUAAAUCAUAAAAACACUUAAUUAGCAGGGUUUAGUUCAUCAAUAAACCAAAUUAAGCACAAAAAAAUGCAAUUUGACAUGUUUAUCAAAUCCCCCUACUUAGCUCAUGCUUGACCUCAAGCAUGUUGUUCUUUCAAACAUUAGAAUUAAUUCCACAAUUUAUUAAAAAUCGAGCCUCUUUUCCAUAUCCUCAAUCAAUGCAAACAACAUAGGCAAAAAGAAAUAAAUGUUCAAAAUAUACAUUUUAAUCAACAAGUGUCAUAAAAUUGAAAUAUGUCAACUAAACAAUUUUGCUAAAUUGAGAUUGAAUCCCAUAAUUUGCAUGGCAUUAUUAAUUAACUAUGCAUCAGAAAAUUAAUAGACAAGAUCAAACCUUUUUACGCGAACUAGGAUGACAACCCAAGUACCCUAUCCCAGUUACUCAGUUCAAACAGUCUUUAUUUAUUAUGUAUUAUUCUUUCUCUUUUUUUAUUUUAUUUUAUGGGGUGUUCAGCUAGCGGAAUGUUUGUAAGUUAUCGACUUGUCACUCGAACCUUUUUACGCGAGAUAAGAUGACAACCAAGCACCCUGCCCCAGUUACUCAAUUCGGUCACAUUUUCGAAACUUCAUUCAUAGCCUAAACCUUUAUUAAUUUAUUUAUGCACAAGAAAACAUAUUUUAUUCAAUCAAUCAAUUCAUGCGAAAAAAUUCUAGCUACAUAUACCAAUUUUAAAACCUAAAUGUCGACCAAUCUAUGUACUUAAACAUUUAAUUCGAAAUUUGCCCAAUUGCUUAAAUCGACUAAGUAUGAGGUUUUAAGGUUCAAAUGUUGAAUAUAUUGUCGAAAGAAUUCAUCGUAAGAUUGAACACAUGCAAAAGAGAAAGACAUGCAGCAAAAAUUAACAUAUCAAUCCAACCCCCUCAUUUAAGCUAUGCUUGUCCUCAAGCAUGUAAAAUAAAGUCAGCAGCUCAAAAUAAAUUAAAAAUGAAAAAGUUCAGAACACUUCCCGUGUAUUUUAAUGACAUCAUUGGUGUUGAGAGUCGUGACUUUGCAGGAUAUUGAGGAUGGUGGCGACUUGUGUUUUCAUUGUUUCAAGUCUAGCUUCGAUUCGAUUUAAACGGGCCUUCACAGUCAAAGGGUGUUCCUCUUGCUCUCUCGUAUUAAUGUGUGGAUGUUUACGAAAAACUCUAUUUUCCCGAGCAGCCCGUGUACCUGGAGGAACAAAAUAACAUGAAACAGGGGUGCCGGCAAGCAAUCCCAUAGAAUCCAAACAAUGUUUAUCUAGGUGGUCCAUACGAUAUGCACAUGUGAAGGUUGUGAAAUCAAUUUCAGACUCAAAAAGUCGAGAGGCUAAAUUUGAAAUAAAUGAUCCAAGUAUAAGGGGACGGUUGUAACUCAAAACGACAUGAAAAUUUCGUGCAAACCAAUAUCCUAAAUUAACUUUAAGACCCGAAUGCAUGCACUACAAAAAGAACAGUUCAAUUUUAGUCAAAGCAGCUGAUGAGUCAUUUCUACCUGAAAAACAAAAUGCUAAAAAUCGGUGUAUGUAUUUUAAAGCAGGCUCAUGCACCCAUAAAUCUUUUGUGGUCUUUGGAUUAUAAAGUUGGUCAGAAUUAGUUAAAACACGAUAAACAUGCUGAGCAUCAAAGUCAUUGGGAACAUCUAAAAGAGCAGAAUGAUAGGUAUCGGAUUGAAUGUCAUUAGGGUCGAUGAAACCCAUGGCAAUGUUAAAUUCUGAAACAGACAUCUGAAAUUCUUUUCCAAGCAAACGAAAGCACACUAUAUUUUGUGUUUCAACAGUUUGCAAUGCAUUUAUAUUGAAGCUAAAUGUGGUAUAAAACUCAUAUACUAAUUCAUAAUAUGCAUAACAAGAAAUAUUAGCAAAUAGAGUCCAACCAAUAGCAUCAAAAUAAUGGAGCACUGCAUCAUGAAUAUCCAGAAGUUUUAGAGUAGGGAAAUCGAUUUGCUUACAGACCGGAAGCAAGCGUUGUCGGAUGGCGUUGUAUCGUGUUUGCUGUUCCGAUGUCGAAAACUCUAGAAAUCCUCGCAAACGACUAUCGGUAGGAAUAACAUUUGCUCGACUACGUUUGUUGCAUUGAUUUGCUCGGGAUGGUCGAACGUGCUCGUUAGGCGAGUUGGGUGGGGGAUUUCAUUCAGCAGCUUCAAUACUGCUGUGCGGGGCGUCGAUGGCUCACGUGUCGACCGUCGAUGACUUCGGGUUUGGCGUUGAGAGACUUGUUCAACGACGGUGGGUGUAGGCUCGACAUGAACGUUAGAAGUUUCGACUUCCUUUAGACUGCCCGAAGUGCUUAUGUCGGUCGGGGUUAGACUUAGUCGUCGGCGAGCUCUUGGUUGCACGACCGUUCGUCUUGGAGGAGGUGGAGGAGGGUUGUCAUCAUCGAUAUCGACGACAAGAGGGGCAGAGAGUCAGUGCCGACUCCGAUUGAGUGAAACCGGGAAGUUGUCGACCAUUUGGUUUCGAGUUUGAACCAUGGUCUCGGUCGUAGCGUUAAAAAAUUAGAGUUUCAGAAGGUUACGGCGGUGCACGAUAGUAGUGACGGUGACAAUGGCGGCAGUGAGGACGAGUGGUGCAUUUUUGGCUGAUUUUUUUUGAAUGGUGAUGGUAGGGGUGUCGGUUUUGAUGAUGGGUGAUGGGUUGUGUGUUUUAAAGAGAAGAAAAAAAAAUAAAAAUAAUAAGAAUAAAAAUAGGGUUUGGGGGUAAUGUGCGGCGGCGCAUGGCGGUGGGGGUUCUGGUCGACGACGAUGGUGCGAUGUAAUCGUUGGGGACUUGUUCGGCUAUGGUUCGGCCGUGGGAAAGGCUUCGGACGGCAUGGGUAAGUUGGAGGGGAAAAGAAAAGAAAAGAAAAUAGAGGUGGCGUGGACGCGGGGUCGACAGUGGCGCGGCGCGAGGUGAGGUGUGGCGAGGUGCGACGACGAUGAUGGAUGGCCGGUGAAAGGAGUGACGACGGUGGUCGACGGUGACUAGGUUGUUUGGGGUUUUUUUUUAUGGAGAAGAUGGAGAAGAUAUUGGGAAAUUAGGGAUUUGGGUGUUUAAAUUUUUAUUUUUGUUAUUAUUUUUUAAUUGGGUUAUUUUAGGUUGGGUGGGGUAAUUGGGUUAUGUGUAGUUUGGGCCAACCAUGGUUAUUGGGUUUUGUGUGGGUAUUGGGUGGUUUUGGUUUAUUUGGGUAGGUGAUGUAAUUGGGUUUAAGGGAAGUAGGUAGUUUUGUAUUUGGGUUUGGUUUAUUUUAGCAUGUGGGUAAAUGGGUUUGGAUUUAAUUUUUUGGGUGUUGGGUUUUUUUUUUCACUAACACCAAAUUAGCAAGUCGUGCCCACGCCUCCAUCAGUACUCGUCUUUUUGAAAAUUAAUAACUCCCAUAGUGUUCCUGAAAACAUCAAAUUGACUAAGUUAAAUAAGAAUUAAUUUAUUUAUUUAUAUCCUAAUUUAUUUAAACUAAAAAUUAAAUAAAUGAAAAUAAAUUUGGGUUGCCUCCCAAAAAGCGCUUUUGUUUAACUUCGUUAGCUCGACGACCUGUUAUUCAAACUUUGGGCUCGUCGAGAACAAUCUCCUCAUCUGUGUGUGUUUGAAAAUUCUCGAAAAAGGGUUUUAGUCUUUGACCAUUCACUUUAAAGCGCUUUCGUGUCUCUUCACUUUGAAUUUCCACUGCACCAUUCGCAAAUAAAUUAGUAAUAAUAAACGGUCCUAUCCAUUUGGAUCGAAACUUACCAGCGAAGAUUUUUAAGGUGGAGUCGUAUAGGAGAACUUUUUGUCCUAUUGAGAACUGCUUCCUAGUGAUGAACUUGUCAUGAAACGCCUUCGUCUUUUCUUUAUAAACUCGAGCAUUUUCAUAUGCAUCGUUUCUGAUUUCUUCGAGUUCUUGGAUGUCUAAUUUCUGAGAUUUUCCUGCAGACUUCAUUUCCAUAUUACGCUGCUUAACUGCCCAAAAAGCUUUGUGCUCUAACUCGACCGGAAGAUGGCACGGUUUACCGAAAACGAGUCGGUAAGGUGACAUGCCUAUUGGUCCCUUGUAAGCUGUCCUAUAAGCCCAAAGUGCAUCAUUCAGUCUCAAACUCCAAUCCUUCCUGUUAGGUUUAACCGUAUUUUCCAGAAUAGACUUGAUCUCUCGAUUUGACACUUCGGUUUGCCCGUUUGUUUGUGGAUGGUAAGCAGUGGCAAUUCGUUGAGUCACUCCAUAUUUCUCCAUUAAUGCACUUACGAGCUUAUUGUAAAAAUGUGUUCCUCUGUCACUGAUUAAUGCUCGUAGAGUGCCAUACCUGGAAAAAAUAGAACUUUUAAGAAAGUCAACUACGGUCUUAGCAUUAUCAUUGCAAGUGGCCUUUGCCUCUAUACACUUAGAGACAUAAUCAACAGCUAAGAGUAUAUAAAAAUUACCGAAAGAAGAAACGAAAGGACCCAUAAAGUUGAUGCCCCACACAUCAAAAAUUUCACAAAUAUGAAUAGAAGUAAAAGGCAUCUCAUUUCGACGACUAAGGUUGCCAACUCUUUGGCAUUUUUCACAAGUUUUGCAGAAAUAAAAGGCAUCACGAAAUAUGUUUGGCCAAAAUAAUCCCCAUUCGAGAAUUUUGUGUGCGGUGCGUUUAGGCCCAAAGUGCCCUCGACAUGCAUAAGAGUGACAAAUGUUAAGAUAGACUGUACCUCUAUUUCUGCUACACAACGUCGUAUUACCUGAUCCGAGCAAUGCUUCCAAAGGUCAGGAUCGUCCCAAAUGUAAUAUCGUGCAUCCUUUUUUAUCUUAUCUUUUUUUGACCUUGGCAAAUCUGAAGGAACAGUACCUGUGACGAGGUAAUUUACUAUGUCUGCAUACCAAGGAUACACUACAUUUGCUGAAAAUAGGUUUUCAUCUGGAAAGUUGUCCUUCAAUGGUGUGUCGUCUACUGGAAUCGGUAAUUGACUCAGAUGGUCAGCUACUAGGUUUUCGCUUCCCUUCUUAUCCCGAAUUUCAAAAUCAAACUCUUGUAGGAGUAGAAUCCACCUGAUCAGUCGGGGUUUUACCUCCUUCUUCCCUAUUAAAUAUUUCAAAGCUGCAUGAUCAGAAAAGAUAAUUACAUUAGUUCUCAAUAGGUAAGAUCUGAAUUUAUCUAAAGCAAACACAACAGCUAAUAAUUCUUUUUCGGUCGUUAUGUAAUUGCUUUGGGCAGCAUCCAAAAUCUUCGAAGCAUAGUUGAUAACAUGAGGCUCUUUCCCUAUUCUUUGGCCAAGAACAGCUCCCACACUUUGGUCACUCGCAUCAGACAUGCUUUCGAACGGUAAGUUUCAAUUUGGUGGCUGCACUAUGGGAGCGGAGACCAAUUUAUGCUUUAGCACAUCAAACGCAUCUUUACAAGUCUGGUCAAAUUCAAAUUCUUUAUCCUUUUGUAACAGUCUACAAAGUGGUCGCGCGAUUUUCAAAAAAUCUUUCAUGAAUCGUCUGUAAAAUCUUGCAUGGCCAAGAAACGAACGAACUUCCCUCACUGAUGAGGGUAAGGUAACGAGUUAAUAAUAUUCGUUUUUGCCUUAUCGACCUCGAUUCCUUUCGAGGAAACUAUAUGACCCAAAAUUAAUCUUUUGUCAACUAUGAAAUGGCAUUUCUCAUAAUUUAAAACAAGAUUAAAUUCUAGGCAUCUUUGUAAUAUCUUAGCAAGAUUAUUGAGACAUUCGUUAAAAGAGUUACUGUAUACCGUGAAGUCCUCCAUAAAGACUUCAAUGAUUUUCUCGACGUAAUUAGAGAAUAUGCUCACCAUGCAUCUUUGGAAGGUGGCCAGCGCAUUGCAGAGUCCAAACGGCAUCCGUCUAUACGCAAAUGUUCCGAAGGGAUAUGUGAAAGUUGUUUUGUCUUAAUCCUCCAGAGCCACUAGAAUCUGAAAAAAUCCUGAGUACCCAUCGAGACAACAAUAAUGGGACUUACCAGCUAAUCGCUCGAACAUUUGAUCGAUGAAGGGGAGUGGAAAAUGGUCUUUUCGGGUAACUGCAUUCAACUUUCUGUAAUCGAUGCAAACCCUCUAUCCAUUCUGUACUCGUGUAGGGACCAGCUCACCUAACUGGUUUUUCACCACUGUCACGCCAGUUUUCUUGGGCACAACAUGAAUCGGGCUAACCCAAUUACUGUCAAAAAUCGGAUAUAUCAUUCCAGCAUCUAACAGUUUCUGGAUCACUUUCUUUACUACCUCCAUCAUGGGUGGAUUAAGGCGCCGUUGAGCAUCCCUCUUUGGUUUCGUGUUGUCUUCAAUGGAAAUUUUGUGCAUACAGGUGGAUGGACUUAGCCCUUUUAUGUAGGCUAUCGUCCAACCAAUAGCUUCCUUAUAAUCUCUCAGAACUCAAACUAGACUUUCCUCCUCAUCUUUGGUUAACUUGUUUGACACAAUUACAGGUAAGGUGUCUUUCUCUCCCAAAAAGACGUACUUAAGAUGGUCCGGUAAUGCUUUAAGCUCCAAGAUUGGUGGCUGCAAAACUGAGGGUAACAUUUUAGUUUGGGAAGGUAAUAGUUCAAAUUGGUUACCUCGGUUUGUCAACGAAAGUUGCAUAUCCAAGUGAUUGACGAUUUCUUGCAACGUAUCUUCAAUGACUGCGAAUUCCUCGAGAUGAUGUAAAACAUCCAUGUCAAUGUUUCUGUAAAGGACAGUUUCCAACUCAUCAAAGUCAUGAUAUUUAGAAUAAGAUUGAGUUAAACAAUCUAAAAUAUCAAUGCUAGAAAUAUUUAAUAGUGAGUUAGGAUGACCCAUGGCCUCGUAGACAUUGAAUUUCACAAUUUCACCAUCAAACUCCAUGGUCAGUGUCCCACUUCGAACAUCUAUUUUUGCGCUUGCGGUACUUAGAAACGGCCUUUCAAGCAAAAUGUCAGACGAAUUAGUUGAAUUAUCAUCUUCUAUACUAAUAAUGUAGAAAUCUGCAGGGAAAACUAAUUCGUUAACUUUAACAAGGACGUCUUCAAGUAGCCAUUCGGGAUAGACGACUGACCUGUCCGCCAACUGGAUUAUUACUCCUGUCUCUUUUAAAGGACCCACGUUAAUCAGCUUAUAAAUAGAAUAAGGCAUAACAUUAAUGGAAGCCCCUAAAUUGCACAUGGCUUUCUUAAUACCUAUAUUGCCUAUCUCACAAGGAAUAGCAAACAUACCCUGGUCCUUGUAUUUGGGUGGAACUUUUUUUUGCAGCACUGCGGAGACAUUUUCUCCUACAUUUACUCUUUCGUUACCUAUUAACCUCCUUUUGCUAGUACACAAUUCCUUGAGGAAUUUUGCAUAACGAGGGAUAUGUUUGAUAGCGUCGAGUAAAGGGAUAUUUACCUCCACCUUCCUGAAUGUCUCGAGGAUUUCUUUUUCCUCAUUCUCUUUCUUAUCCCUUGCAAGCCUCCCUGAAAAAGGAGGUGGCAUCACAACUGGUUUCUGAACUUCUGAUUCUGGCCUUGCUGUUGGAUCCGAAAUCUGCUUUUCCCAUUCCUUUUCUUGCCCAUGAUUUUUUGCUGGAACUGUUUCAAGAACCUUUCCGCUACGAAGAGUUAUUGCACUGACAUUCUGCCGGGGGUUCGGCUCUGUUUGAGAAGGUAGUUUACCAUGUGAGUCCAAACGAUUAACUGCCAUCGAGAGUUUACUAACUUGAUUAGUUAACUCUAGUAUUGAUGCGUCUGUCCUUUGUUGAUAUUUUGCAGCAUCGGCAGCAAGUCUUUCCACGAUAGCUUCUAGAGAUGUGCUCGGCUUGUGUUGUGGUGGUGGCUGCAGAGGUCUCGGUUGGUAUGAUGAAUUAUAUCGGGGAUUAGCUCCGUAAUUCAGGUUGGAAUGAUCUUUCCACCCGGGAUUGUAGGUGUUGGAGAAAGGAUUAUAGCGUCUUUGCGGAGGUCCUGGAAAGCCUCCGAUAGCGUCAAUAUGUGCCGUUGAAUUGUUGUUAAGGAUUUGGCACAAAUCUGUCGGGUGUUCAUACGUAGUACAAAUUCCACAUAGUGGGGUCAAACUCUUCUUUUCUGUAAGCAAAGAUUGAACAACAUUCGUAAGCUUAUCCAAUUUAUCUUCUAAAGUUGAAACCUUUACCCCAUUAACCCGUCUUGUCGGUUUUGAAUUUGGCCGAUAUUGUUUAGAAUUUGUCACCAUGGUGGAUAUUAGCUCUCUUGCCCUUUGAGGGGUCAUAUUGACAAGCGCUCCUCCGCUAGCAGCGUCGAUCAUCUUCAUUUCCAUAGGGAGCAAACCCUCGUAGAAAUAUUGAAGAAGUGAUUGUUCGAUCAACCCAUGUUGAGGACAACUUGCACACAGUUUUUUGUACCGCUCCCAGUAGUCGUAGAGCGAUUCACUCUCCAAUUGGCGAAUUCCCACUAUGUCCCUCCUAAGCUCGGCUGCUCGAGACGCUGGGAAGAACCUGUCAAGAAAUACACGAGAUAAGUCAUCCCACGUUGUGAUAGAACCGGGAGGUAAGUAAAAUAACCAUUCUUUUGUUGUAUCAACUAAAGAUAAAGGAAAUGCCUGAAGUUUGAUCUCAUCUUCAGGUACUCCCUGGGGUUUCAUGCUUGAGCAGACCAUGUGGAAUUCUCUCAAGUGAGUGUGUGGAUUUUCGUUCUUCAGGCCUCGAAAAGUGGGCAACAGGUGAAUCAAGCCCGACUUCAAUUCGAAAGGAGUUCCUCCGGUUGGAUAGUUAAUGCAUAAUGGUGUUUGCUCGUUGGGAGCAGCAGCUAGUUGACGAAUGGUUUGGUUGGCCAUCCUUUCUAGUUCACCGAGGUUGCCUUUUGUUUCAAAGAGUGGUUCAGUCUCAGGUUCAACCUCUUCUACUUGUUUCCCACGUCGAAUUGCUUCCGCACGAAUUACUUCCCUCAAUUUUUCAACGUCGGAUUCUAGGAUCCCCUGUCCUAGCUCAAUUCCUGAUUUACUUGCACGUUUAAGAGCUUCUGUCUCUUUUCACCGUGCUCGUACUGAUUUCUCAAUCUCUGGGUCGUAUUCGAGAUCUCCGGAUGAAGAUCUGGUCAUGAAGAUAAUUUAAACAAUUGUAAGUGUUGCCAGUCCCCGGCAACGGCGCCAAAACUGAUGGCUGUCGAUUCCACCAAUAUAAACCUACACCUAGUUUGCAAAUUAAAGCAGUAUAGGGAGUAGGGUCGAUCCCACAGAGACUGAAAUUACUGAAAAUUGUUUGUUUCUUGACCAGAUUAGUGUCUGGGCAGUUGUCGUGCCCGCGACGUUUGGGGGGGGAAAUAAAAUAUGAAACCUAAAAUAAACACAAGAAAACGUAAAAAGUAAAAAGUAAAAGAUGAAAUAAAAAUAAAUAACGAAAUAAUUUAAAGGAAAAUCAAUAAAACUUAGCUCAGCCUUAAGCACGGGUUUUCCUGUCUUUGACCCGUUCCUCGAAAUUAGGUGAACUCUUCUUUUCCGAUAAGCUAGUUAUAGCUACCAAGGACGCCUCAGACACCAACUCUUCCUUGUGUAAAUUAGUUAUGGAACGUCCUAUAACUAACCCUUACCGAUCGAACAACCUACGAAACGUUCGUGAUUUAGAACUCUGGCAGCUUUGCGUUCAAGAAGAGCCUAGCUCGAACCAAUGCCUUCAAAUGUUUGGGACAUUUAAAUCUGGUUACUACUUCCCUUGACGGAACCAAACAACAAUCCUCACUUGGCACGCCAAUGUGUUCAUGGAAGACCAAUUAGACAAUCGAUCCUUUCGGAAUUCCAACUGUACGUCUAGCCACACUAACUCAAACGACGUCUUUUUUGACUUAGUGUUGUCUAGACUUUGUGAGUUGAUGAAGUCAUACUUUUAAUCCGGAGAAAUAAUAAAUAUCGAAAGUUGGGAGUUAAACAGCUCAGGUUCGUAACUCAUGGGUUUUUUGACGGGGUUAACACCGACUUAAAACUGAAAGGGGUUUAGUGUGGCAUGAAUUUAAUCAUGCUUGAAGGUUAUGGAAAUGAUAGAAAUUAUAUGAAAAAGGUAGUGGAAAUGGAUAGGAAAAAUAUUUGCAAAGAGAAUUAGAUAAAUUUUGUAAAAAGAAGACAAAAUAAUCUAAUGCUCAAUUGAAUUAAGAAAAAGAAAAACAAGGUGGAUAAUGGAAUUCCAAAAUGAAAUAGGAAUGUAAAGACAAUUGAUUAAUGGAUGAUUUCCUAAGAACUAAAACCCCCUAUUUAUAUAGAUAGGGUUUACUAAAAAUAGCUUAAGAAAAUUAAUAUAAAAUCUAAAAUAAUAAUAAUUAAAAAUAAAUAAAAUUAAAAUAAACUUAAAAUAGAAUUUCCUAUUUUUGGCUUUUUACAAAGUCAAAUUUAUGACUAGUCCUUGGCUUACUCCAUCUUUUCGCUUUGGCCCAUUCCAAUAAUUUUCUUCUAAUUUGGCCCCUUUUCAGCUUGCUUUUGAUCAAUUGCAUCCCUGACAAGAAUUAAAUCAUAAAAACACUUAAUUAGCAAGGUUCAGUUCAUCAAUAAACCAAAUUAAGCACAAAAAAUAUGCAAUUUGACAUGUUUAUCACUUGGGGAUUAUAAAGCUUCAGCAUAUGUCGAAGCCUCCAAAUUGUCCGUGAUUUCCCCAAACCACGGACAUUCCAACUUAGGAUUUUCAUUAAAUCGGCCGGCUUGCCUCCUGGUAGCCGCCGAUAAUAAUUGAUUUUGAUCUCCAGAUCUCCCACUUUUUGGCAUUAACUUACUCACCUCAUUUGUUCCUGUUGGCUCAUCCUCUUCCACUCUAGAUCUCUUUUUGCCCUCCUCUCCUAUUAAAGCUGUAUCUUCUAUGUCGUGAUCCAUAAAAGUAUGUAUCUGCCCUGGCCAUACCCUCUUCAAUCGUUCGCCAGAAGCUGAUGAAUCCCCUUCUAUAUUAAAACCAAGAAUUGGGUCUACCUUCCUUCCACAACUCUAUCUGUUUUCAGCCCGCCACAUCCCAUUCACUAUGAGUCCUUUACUGUCAUUACUACCAUCCACUUUGACAUCACCAACCUCACGUAGCCAGAUACUAUUCAUAGCUCGAGCUUUUCUAGAUUGAGCUCGUAAGGUUAAAUCCUAACCCAUAUCAGCAGCUUCCACACCGAGCAUCAUCCUAUCUUCACAAAAGGAAUCACUGUGACCCAGUCGACCGUAAUAGAAACAAAAUAAUGGCAAUCGCUCAUAUUUAAAAUUGAAAUAUGAACAUCUCCCAUAUAAUAGAAUCUGUUUUUUCCCUUUUCAAUGGGCGUCUAACAUCAAUUUGAACUCUGAUUCUCAUGAAAGUCCUAUUCUCCUUCCCCAGAUUGGAUCCAUCAUAUUCCAGAAAAACACCAAUGAAAUUUCUUAUCUGGAUCGCCAAAUUUUCAGAAUAUAAACUAACAGGAACAUCAUGAAUCUGAACCCAAAAAGGUGCCAAAACUAAAGGUACUUAUAAUGGAUCCUCCCCCAAUCGCAGUUUAUAAAGAAGCAGCAAAUGAUUAUUAAAAGUCCAAGGAGAACCUUUAAGAACCCUAUCGAGAUCCAUAAAAUGAAAAAAUUGAAACAAAUACCUUUUUUCCCCCAUAUCUCAAAUCCGGUUAGGCCAUAAGUUAGCCAAAGUACUUUUCAUUGCAGGAAAAUGUAUGAUAUUGGCUGUCAAAAAACAACCCACUAAUAGAAAACUCUCUCCCUCUUCUUCCCUACUCAGAUCUGGUUGAAUUUGAAUAAUUUCGUGUUCUUCUUCAUUUAUUGAGAGUUGAGCCAAUGCGUUCUCCAUGUUUGCAGGUGUAGAAUCCCAAUUUUUCUACCUUUCAAUAGAUCCAAGCCACUAAGCAUGCACCUACGUCGCCUUGCAGAGGCCAGACUUCAAAGAACAAGCACUAACAAAAGAACGAAAAAACACCAAAGACCUAAAACUUCUUGCCAGCGGCGGCAGACAAAACCUUGCUAGGGUAGCAGACUAAACAAUGCAUUUAAAUUUUUAAUUUUUUUUAAGCAAUGCAGAAGAGUGUUUAGAAGAAUAAAAACACCGUGGGUGAAUAUUAUCGGAAACUGGUGUUUCUAAUAUCGGUUUUAACUUAAAAGAAAAAAAAACAAAAAUAGGCCAUUUUCACUCUGAAAGCGAUGCUUCAAGUUAAAAAAUCUCUCCGAAUUUCAAAUUUAGGUAAGUUUCUUUCUUCUUAUUUGUAAAUUAAACAAUCGUUCUCAGCAUUAAGUAAACAUCUAUUUUCUCGCUGGUUUUACUUUUGCUUGUUGCAGCUGUACAAUAUGUGUAAAAGAUUCUGUAAUUUGUUUAAUAUACAUUCAAAUUCGCAUCUUUUUACCUAUAUAUAUAUAUAUCUAAACUCUAACGUCUCUGUAAAAAUCGGUAAACAAAAUGAAAAAGCAAAAAGAAAUUUGUUGGGGGUAUUCAUGACGCCAAAGCAAUCCAAUAACUUGCUGUGCAUGUACUUGUUGGAGUGCCAAUUAUCCGUAUCCAUACCCAUUGCUUGUCCUGAACUUCCCGAAUUUCUGCCAACUGCAUAAUUUAAUAAAUUUCAUGACUAUCUUACACAUUUCUCAAGACAAAGCUUGAAGCAAGGAUUUUUCUUUUUCCAUUGAAAUUCUGUUGCAUGUUUAAAGUUGCUUGAUUGUUGUGGAUCCCAGAAUGUUUUAAUAGGAAACUUGAACAAAAUAACGUAAAGAACUUCAGUUGAGUUUUUGCCUAGUCUGUGAUGACAUUUUCUAGAUUGAUUUUUUUUCUUUUGUUUGUUUGUAUGAAAUGUUCAUGAAAUGCAUUAUUUACCUUUUAUGUCUGUGUUUUGGUUGCUUAGGAUAAUUAUCAGAUGUUAGAAAAUUACAAAUAUGGAUAAAUUAUGGUCUUGAAUUGCUUACUCUGCCAUCUCUUAGCUCGAAAAUAGCUGAAUUUUCAGAAAGUGGAAUUGGUCUUGUAGAAGCAACCUGUCCAUAUUUGUAGAGAUUUUAAAAAUCAGUUUAACAUCACUGUUGUUGUAGGCAUGCAGGAGUAAGUGAAUGUGGAUGGCUGGAUACUAACCUUUGGGUCACAGUUACCAUUCGAAUAAUUUGGGUUCUCCAUUUUUGUUUGAUCUUCAGUAUCUUUGUCUCUAUCAUGCGGGGAACCACAGUUUUUCCAUCUCCAUGUCAAUUGGUCCAUGUACCUUAGGUAUACAUUUCCGUCUGAACCUAUCAAAAGCAGUUGAUUGCCUUUGAAAAAUGGACCAGGAGGAGCAACUAAGUUAACAUCUUUGCAUGGAGUGCCAUGUUCUACCCAGAUCCAACCAUCCCAUGCAUUCCAGUGAUAUUCAACUAAUCCACCAUCUUCUGAAAGCAUGAAAAGUGAACCUGUUAAUGAAAAGAAUGAAGGCCUUAUGACAGUUCCUGGCAACCUGGAUAGAACCAAAUGCUGAGAUUGGUGAUGCUCAUGCCACAAUUCAGUUACUUUGUUAUACUGGUAGAGCCGACCAUUUCUUCCAACAACAAACACUAUAUUCUCCCUAAAGAUUUCUUGGUCUAUUAUGCAUGCAAGUUUGGUUUCUGGAGGGUUUCGGCAGUAUUUCCAUUUGAACUUUCUCAGGGCAACCUACAUGACAUGUAAGGAUGUUGGUUAGUGCAACACUUUGGGAGCAAAGUAACGAAUCUGAAUGACUAGUUUUUGAAGACUAGAUAAUGGAAUUAUGUUAUGUUAACGUUAUAUAUCUUACUCUAGUUUAUCUAGUAGUCAAUUGCCCUUGACGCUGCCAUAUCAUUCUGGAUACUCAGAAUGUGGCUCUUCUUAAGGUAUAAUUUGAAAAUUUUCACUGGUAAGAUGGUUUUAGGUAUAAUAUGGUGAAAAUGUGAUAAACUGAGUCGGUACUUGAAUAUAUAAUUCAAGGCUUGUGUCUCUUAUGGAAGAAUUUCAGAAAUGAAAAAGCAGCAGGCUUGUUAUCUAUUCGUUUUGGCCUUUUAUUUGUUUUUUCUUAUAGGAGGAAAAGAAGAAAGAAAGAAAAUCCUAAACGAACCAUCUUGUAAUUAAUCUGUUUGCUUUUCAGAUUUUAUUUUAUUUGCUACUUACUGUGAACUGAAGUAGUCUUCCACUUUUGCUCACAAAAAAGAGUGCAUCUUCUGCUGUGACUUUCAGUUUACCAUCCCAAGGAGGACCUGCCGUAACUUGUGUUCCUUUCCUCAUUGCAGUGCAAUUUAUCCAUGCUAGGUCAUUUCCGGUCCUUUCUCUGAUAAGCAAGGUUCCAUAAAUGUCAACAAAAAAUAAACUUCCAUUGUAGUUUCCUAGGGAACCUCUCAUAGGUGUUGAAUGGUCGUGCCUUAACCAGAGCCAUACAUUUUCAGUGUAAAGAUAUUCAAACGUCAAACCCUCAUCUGUUACCAUAAAAAAUGAUACACCUGCUUGCAUCAUCCUCAGUCGGAAAUUAGUGUUAGUCCAGUUAUCUGGGAAACUGUAUUCUUUUGAUGUUUCUGCAAGGGCACUCCUGGAUGUGCUUGGAGAUAAGUACUCUUGUUGUGCUUUAUUACCCUUUCUCCUUCUUGUCAGGGAUCUUGUAUUACCUGCAUCGUUUGAUUCAUCUUUUAUACCUGCUAUGCAAUUCAUAGGUCCACGUUCUUCUGUACAAUACUCAGCAUUCCAUCCUUCUGUCUCAGGCGCAUCUAAUAUUGACCAGACAUACUUAGAGGAUACUUUUUUUCUCAUGUUAAAUUGAUGUGUUGGCCCUGAAUUCUCACCACCUAGGUUAGGCAUAUGUAACUCUGCAAGUCUACCGUCAUCCAGUGCAAACAGGGUCCUGCCAAGUUGAAAUCUUAGUCCUGCAAUACCUCUUGCAGCUUUUGCAUUUGGUGGAUGCAUAUGAUUCAGCCAUGUUACUGAGAUUUGGUUCUCUUGAGCUGUACCUGUCUUCACAUGUAAAAGUUAAAUUGAGGAUCUACUGUGGUUGCCAGAUAUCAAGAAGACUGUAACUAGCAGGUAAUAAACAUGCAUCAUUAUCUUAAGACUACAUAAUUUCAUACAUUUUUUUGAACUUGCUUAGAGGUCUCAUAUAAAAGCCAUGAGUUCCCUGAACUACAUGUGCAUAAGAAAGGGCAACCUCAUUUGUUUCCCUCAAUGAGUUUACAUGUUUUGCAUGAGAAGUUGGUUCUAGGAACUUAAGAUACUUAUAUUGUAGUUAGAUAUCUUUUUGUGGCUGAGAUUUGAGUCUUCUUCAUUAUUCAGUUAAACUCACUGAUCUAAAAGUUGCUUUUCGAAGUCAUUUUGUAACUUAUGUUACUUCUAAACUUAAUGUUGGUUGCUUUAUCAUCUACUCCCUCGUUGACUUUCUAAAGUCUACUGUCAAGGCCCCUUAACACAUUUUUCCUUUAGUUCUUUUCAUGAUUCUUCAGCUUUAUACUGAUAAGUGAAUUAACUGAUAUAUAUAUAUAUAUGUAUGAUUAUUUAGGGGGGACUAAGACAAAUAUUUAAUUUUGAAGGCCACCUGGUAUAUGUAUAGUCAGAUUGUGAAAAAUAUCUUAAUAUCAUUGAUUUCCAUAUUUGGCAGUUACCUUUAAUCUUAUUAUUUCUUCUCUAAUUUUUUUGGACUGUACUAGGUUCUCUCAUGUCCUCAGAUCAUAACUGGUUUCUUGCAAGAACUACAAUGGCCGUUCCUUAGAGUUAGAGGGAUAUUCAAUAGAAUUUAGACAUAUACUCUGAUGUGGCUUGGAAUGAGAUUGUUAUUGAUAUCAAUAACUAGAUGUCUGAAAAAACAGUGUUAUUUGAACUUAGGGUUAGUUUUGUUUAUGGUUAUGUUUCCAACAUGGAUAUGUUCAGAUUCUUAAAUGUUUUUUUUCCAAGAUAGAUGAAUAUAUGACAAAUGCAGGUACUUCAAGAAAAAUGAAGAACUGGAGUCACAUAGCCAAAGAAAAGAAAAAAAAAAAAGAAAAAGCUAUUUGGGGACCAUUCAACUUAACCUUAUAAAUAACUAAUAUGUUUAAAGUUACCAUUCAAGGAAGAUUAUCUAUCAAGCUAUUGAUUUUUUUCCAUUAUUAAAGGAAGAAGAGAAGAUUGCUGGUACUUUUUUUUGGAGAAUCUCAUGGAUUCUUUAGGUGCAAAUAUUGUAGUGCCGUAAACCUAUAAUUGUUUCAAAUUUGUAGGGAUAGACUGAUAUUUUGAGAUAGGAUCCUGAUUUCUUUCCUAGAAUAACUAUUGUAUCAUUUGGAAUAAGAAACAAUAAAUAUUUAUGUUAUCGGAGCUAGGUAUUCCUAAAAUCUUCUCUCCAUUCAUUUACAGCCUUUUGUUGAAACCUUAGUCUAAGAAAACUUAUCAACCUUCAUUGUUGAAACCUUAGUUCAAAAACCUAUCUUCCUUCAUUGCUGAAUAUCACCUUGAAAAUGGCUAGAAUCUGAAAUAAUUCCUCAAACACUUACUGAAAUAGUCAAUCAAAUGGGGGACUACAGAAUUUGAACCCUGCUUAUCAUCUCAAUUGAAGAAACUAUCUGCAGUGGUUACAAAUUGUCAAUGGAAUCUAUGUCAUUAGUCUGCUCCAACCAUAAUUGAUCCCAAGUUCAGUGCAUGGGUUGAAGAAGAUUCCUUGAUUAUAUGGUGGCUUUUGAUUUCUAUAGAUUCUAAACUAGGUGGACCUUUUAUGUUCCUUUCAACUACUCGAGAAAUAUGGGAGGCAAUAGGUCAAUCUUAUUCCAAGAUCAAUGAUGUAGCCCUUAUUUUUUGAGAUCAAAACCAAAAUAUCAGCCACUAGGCGAGGUACAUUCUUCAGCUGUAAAUAUAGUAGUGCUGUAGAUCCAUAAUUGUUCCAGAUUUGUAGGGAUAGACUGAUUUCUAGGGAUAAACUGAUUCUUUGGGAUAGGAUCCUGAUUUCUUUCCUAGAGUAACUAUUGUAUCUUUGUAUAAAUAGAGGUACAAAGCUGUCAUUUGGAUAAGAAAUAGCAAAGGUUUCUUCACUUUUUAAUACUACUUGACUUACCUGAAUGGUUUGGUAUUCGAUACUCAAAAACUGAUCCGGUGGAUGUAGUUAGAAACAAUGAGAUGAAUGUUUCAUUUGGUUCAUCUUCCAGCAAGGGAGUAAUAGAUGUCAGGUGAUGAUCUUCUGGACUUUCAUGAUUUAUCCAUUUCCUUUUCCGUUGAUAUAGUCGUCUCUCUACCAACUUACCUCCCUAUAUAUCAAAGGAAGUCCAUUAGACAUGACAUUAAAUUUAGGAUAAUAGGAUAUGUAUGCAUUGUGUUAUUAGUUUGUAAUGCAGAGUACCUUUGUUAGGAGAAACAAGGAUAUAGAGUGAUCUCCAAUCAAGCCAUGUACGGUGCACCCCAUGAGUGGUAUUAGAGAACCCUCUUUUGAUGCAUCUACACUCUUUAGAUGCUUUUUCCAUGAUGGCCUUGAGUUCUUAUCAUAUUCAUAGAGAUCACCUGCAGAACUAUUGCACCAUUUCAUGUUUAACUAACUUUGGUGAAUCUUAAAAGUGAAAUAAACAACAGGUUAUAGUUUAUACUCUGAUAGCAACAUGCAUAGACAUUUGUGGCAUUCACACAUAACUCUUUCUUUUAUACCUUAGGAUCUUGUUUUGGAGAAGCAUUUUAUUUUAUUGUGCAUUCAUUUCUCCAUUUGACAAUGCUUUAUAAUUUGGUUAAAAAAUAGUCAGAAGUUAAUGGCAAAAUAACAUUUGUGAAAAAUAGUGGAAUGUUCCACAAAAUAUUUUAGCUUUUGACUAUCUUUGAGUCAAAUUUGAAAUAGCAGUAAAAUUGCACCUGCACCUGUUCAAAGUUGAGCUGUAAAUUUGAUCCAUCAUCUUAAGUAGAGUAGGAAUAUUGAACCUUAUACCAAAACUAAUAACAUAUGCCUUGUUAGACUAAAGAUUUUCAAUAUCUCUUUGCUGGAUAAAAAGUAAGACUAGAGUAUUUUGGAUGUUUCUGUACAUCUGGAGAGAAAGGGAGAGCACCUUAUUGUAUAUACAACUUCUGCUCUAAUUCUAGCUGCAUCAGCAAUUGCUGCGACAUCUGCUCCUGGUGGCCGGCCAUGAUUCUCCCACCUGCUCUAUAUUUACAAUUACAACACAUAAGCCAUACUGUAUAUUAGAGUCUGCUAUUGAAAUCUGAAUCUCAUUUAUAGACUGGCAUAUAAGAAUUGAGUCAUCAAUGGUCGCAACGAAUGAAGUUCUCUAUUUGCUUUAAGACUUUGAAAGGAAAAGGUUUCUACCUUGGAGGUUCAACCUCGCUGAGUUCUAGCAACAAGCCGUUCUUUGUGCAGAAAUAAACUCUCCUACAUUGAGUUCAGAAAAAACAACGAAACUGUUAGUAGUGGGAAAUUGCUUACAUAAUGCAAUGAAAUUUGAUCACGCCCCUCUAUCAUGUGUUAUUCCCUGAAACAAAAUUCUUGAUGUUGAAUUAAUGUACUUACUGUCCAUCAUAUGAAACAGUACUGGACUUUAUUUGAAUCACUGAACUCUGUUCUGCUUCUUCAUUUGUACUUUGAUUGAAUGCAGGUUUGAACUCCACCCAUAUUGGUUGCGAGUUGUCACCGAGUUGCAUCUGAAAAAAGGAAGAUAAAUCAGCCUAUAAUAACAAGGAACCCUUGUGGUCACAAUACAAGUACGUGCCUUUUGCAAGAUUUUAUGUGUUAUAUUAUUCUGGCUACGGAUUCAAAAAGUUGAGGAUGGGGUUUUAAAGUAUUCUAACCUAAAAUAAUAGAAGUGGACAAUUUACUCUGAAAUCGUUUGUUUUCAGGAUUUUAAGAAGUGAGCUUUUUUGGGUUUGGUAUGUUGGUUAAUUUUCAGACAUGUUAGACUGAAACUUUGCUCCUUUCUGUUUCAGUAAAUUGAUUAUCAUUUGAGCUACAGAAGUCCAAUUGAGGCGAUUCAAGAUGUGUUGAGAAGCAAAUUGAAAGAGCUACAAGUUGAAAAAGGCAACUUAGGCUAACUCCACUUGGAUCAAACACAAGAUCAUGUCAAAAUUCAUGUGCUGUUUUUGGUCGAGGUUUUGAGUUCAUUAGGGAAUAUGAAUUCAUGUAAAAUUUACCCCCCACCCAUGCACGCAUCACACUAUCCCUCUCUCCUCCCUUUCGUGUCCAACCAUACUGUUGAAGUAUGUGUUCUGUAUUGGUGUCAGCCUUGUUACCUGUUAGCUAUGAUUGAAAUCUAUCUUUAUACCGGUGGAGUUGUGCCUGAGGCUCUCCAUUAAUGUUUUACAUAUUUCAGAAAUACCGUUGGCCCAUUGGAUUCCUUUCCUACUUCUCUUUGUUCCAAAAUAAUUGAAAUUUGGCUUCAUGGUUUUCUAUAUAUGCAUGAUCAUCAAAGUCGUUCUAUGUGCAUGCUAUAUUUCUAUUCUGUAGCUCUUAUGGACAUUAAAAUACUCAUCAGAAGAUUGUAUAAACUUUCUAAUAACUGGCACAUACAUGGGAGAGAAAAUGAUCCAAAUAUAGUUUAGUUGAAGUUUACUUUAUUCGUUACCAUAGGAAGAAA